Molecule: transfer RNA, 73 nt
Filed under: Cordylochernes scorpioides
Lineage: Eukaryota; Metazoa; Arthropoda; Arachnida; Pseudoscorpiones; Chernetidae
Description: tRNA-Gly
Source: RNAcentral
AUUGCAUUGGCCAGGAAUCGAACCCGGGGCGCCCGCGUGGCAGGCGAGCAUUCUACCACUGAACCAAAAGCAA